This 1303-nucleotide long non-coding RNA is filed under the name Vigna radiata. RNAcentral describes it as "long non-coding RNA (VRAD_LNC005433)". Lineage: Eukaryota; Viridiplantae; Streptophyta; Magnoliopsida; Fabales; Fabaceae. The record is from RNAcentral.
GACUCUAAUGUGACAAGGUCACACUUAAACGUGAAUCAAAAGAUCAAAUCAACAUUAAAGUCUACUCCUAUGUCUAGCUAUGCUAAAAUUAAAGCAAUUAAAAUUGCCAAGAGUUUGGAAAGAGCACCAUGGACUCUUCNAAUCUACUUGGACUUUAUAAGAGGCCUUUUACAAACACAAACUAAAACUGCUAACAGUGGGCUAACACAAGCCCAUUACAAAUACAAAUAAAACAAAGUAAAGCCCAAAAAUUGAAAUCCUAUGCUACGGUCUUGUAGACAAUCACGUGCCCAGAUCUUGCUUUAAUUUGUUGCUGCUGAAAUCACUGCUUUUGAAUCUCCUAACCUGGCCCAAUCCUACAAACAAACAUGCACAACAUGGGUGAUUAUUCCCUCCAACAGAUCGCACAAACUGAUUGUAUAGCAAUGGUAGUGACUACUUCCCUUUUCUCCCGGUGCAGGUGAUGCAUCUAAGAGAUUCCUUUUGCUCUCAACUCACAAUCUGCUGCACGAAGGAUUCACACAAAAUCAGUAACCACACCAAUGCUUAACAAUUAUAAGACACACAGACAGUUUGAAACAAAUCUACAAUUAAUCUAAAACUCCCUUUAGUUCAGAGGACUGCUCCUAGCCUGCUCCAACUAAUCAGCAGAUCCACUUUUCACUUGUAACAUCCUACACUACAUUCUUGUAAAUUGAUGCACUAGCUAUAUGAUAUCAAUUAAAUCAGACCUGCACAACUACACCAAAAACAGCAGAUACUUCAAAUGAAUCAGUUCACGCAUAGCUAGCUAAGUGGCAUGCAAAGGUAUGUAGUCAAUCACUCUGGAUAAAACUGAAAUCGGAAACUGCUUUCCCAAUAAAAUUGAAAUGAUAUUUUUAACCAGGGAAGAAAAUGUUUCAAUUCAAGGCCUUAGUACAAAACAAUUCCAAUUCAGAAUCAUCAUUUGCAAGUGAAAAAGAAAGGAAAUUCACAAUCAGAAUUAUGCAGCAGUUUAAAAGAACAGAAGGCAGUAAUCAGAGAAUUGUGAUCCCAGCUUAAGCAAACCCAUUCAGAAAUCAGAGUGGUUAAUUCUAGUUUACAUAAACUGCCAUAUCAGAAUCAACACUUCAAAUAAUGCUAAGCAAGGACAUGCUAUAUACAGAAAUAGUUUGGACAAAACAGAGGCAAUUUAAGAUGAAAUACUCUCUUUUUGUUCAACACUCCCAAAGUCUAUUCUCAUGAGAUCCCUUGCUCAACUUCUACACUNCUGCAGCUAGUUGUAACUCACUUUCUACUAAGCACCACCUGUGAAUGACAAUCA